Molecule: ribosomal RNA, 1554 nt
Filed under: Salmonella enterica subsp. enterica serovar Heidelberg
Lineage: Bacteria; Pseudomonadati; Pseudomonadota; Gammaproteobacteria; Enterobacterales; Enterobacteriaceae
Also listed under: 2 other names
Description: bacterial SSU rRNA
Rfam family: Bacterial small subunit ribosomal RNA
Source: RNAcentral
AAAUUGAAGAGUUUGAUCAUGGCUCAGAUUGAACGCUGGCGGCAGGCCUAACACAUGCAAGUCGAACGGUAACAGGAAGCAGCUUGCUGCUUCGCUGACGAGUGGCGGACGGGUGAGUAAUGUCUGGGAAACUGCCUGAUGGAGGGGGAUAACUACUGGAAACGGUGGCUAAUACCGCAUAACGUCGCAAGACCAAAGAGGGGGACCUUCGGGCCUCUUGCCAUCAGAUGUGCCCAGAUGGGAUUAGCUUGUUGGUGAGGUAACGGCUCACCAAGGCGACGAUCCCUAGCUGGUCUGAGAGGAUGACCAGCCACACUGGAACUGAGACACGGUCCAGACUCCUACGGGAGGCAGCAGUGGGGAAUAUUGCACAAUGGGCGCAAGCCUGAUGCAGCCAUGCCGCGUGUAUGAAGAAGGCCUUCGGGUUGUAAAGUACUUUCAGCGGGGAGGAAGGUGUUGUGGUUAAUAACCACAGCAAUUGACGUUACCCGCAGAAGAAGCACCGGCUAACUCCGUGCCAGCAGCCGCGGUAAUACGGAGGGUGCAAGCGUUAAUCGGAAUUACUGGGCGUAAAGCGCACGCAGGCGGUCUGUCAAGUCGGAUGUGAAAUCCCCGGGCUCAACCUGGGAACUGCAUUCGAAACUGGCAGGCUUGAGUCUUGUAGAGGGGGGUAGAAUUCCAGGUGUAGCGGUGAAAUGCGUAGAGAUCUGGAGGAAUACCGGUGGCGAAGGCGGCCCCCUGGACAAAGACUGACGCUCAGGUGCGAAAGCGUGGGGAGCAAACAGGAUUAGAUACCCUGGUAGUCCACGCCGUAAACGAUGUCUACUUGGAGGUUGUGCCCUUGAGGCGUGGCUUCCGGAGCUAACGCGUUAAGUAGACCGCCUGGGGAGUACGGCCGCAAGGUUAAAACUCAAAUGAAUUGACGGGGGCCCGCACAAGCGGUGGAGCAUGUGGUUUAAUUCGAUGCAACGCGAAGAACCUUACCUGGUCUUGACAUCCACAGAACUUUCCAGAGAUGGAUUGGUGCCUUCGGGAACUGUGAGACAGGUGCUGCAUGGCUGUCGUCAGCUCGUGUUGUGAAAUGUUGGGUUAAGUCCCGCAACGAGCGCAACCCUUAUCCUUUGUUGCCAGCGAUUAGGUCGGGAACUCAAAGGAGACUGCCAGUGAUAAACUGGAGGAAGGUGGGGAUGACGUCAAGUCAUCAUGGCCCUUACGACCAGGGCUACACACGUGCUACAAUGGCGCAUACAAAGAGAAGCGACCUCGCGAGAGCAAGCGGACCUCAUAAAGUGCGUCGUAGUCCGGAUUGGAGUCUGCAACUCGACUCCAUGAAGUCGGAAUCGCUAGUAAUCGUGGAUCAGAAUGCCACGGUGAAUACGUUCCCGGGCCUUGUACACACCGCCCGUCACACCAUGGGAGUGGGUUGCAAAAGAAGUAGGUAGCUUAACCUUCGGGAGGGCGCUUACCACUUUGUGAUUCAUGACUGGGGUGAAGUCGUAACAAGGUAACCGUAGGGGAACCUGCGGUUGGAUCACCUCCUUACCUUAAAGAAGC